AAGAAAGAUUACACCUAAAACGUUCCAGCAAUCCUCAAUCGAAUGACAAGCACGUCCAAGGGCUUUCCUCCUUCCUCUUUGCUGCGGCACAAGGGUUGGUGGUGAGUUUUUGGGGUUAUGGAUGGUGUAAAAGUAUGGAAUGGUGUUUAGGAUGGUAGUAUGGUGCGGCUAGAAGUGUUUCGGGUCAGAAACUAUGGAGAAUGGUGAAGUAUGGAUGCGUCUAGGAGUGGUGGAUGAUUUCUGGCGUGAAUGGUUGAUUGAAUUGUCCUUUGUGGCUGCAACAAGGAAGUUUAUUUAAAGGAUUUCAGGAAACAAAACCCUAGGUUAUUUAGGUAAUCAAAAAUUCAGUCAAAAGCUUCUAGAAAUAGGAAAUCAAAUCAGAAAACUAAAGGAUAUUGGCUAAGAUAUGUAGCAAGGGGACAAAACACAAUAGGAAUGUGUUUUAAUGCAAGGAAAUAGGAAAUAACCCUCUCCCUUGCACGGCAAGGAAGAGGAGAGGUCAAGGGAGGUGUGGCAAAGGUCCAUAAGGGUUCUAAGGCCUUUGUUUUGUGUCCUAGAAUGCAUAUGAAGUCUUCAAAGUGGUUGGAACAUAGGACUUUUAGAAUUAGGAAAGGUCAAACCAAAAUAGGAAACCUUGGCUUAACUUUCCUACUUCAAAUAGGAAUCCUUGUUGGAGUAGGAAUCCUUGUUCUUCUAGGAAUCCUCAUGUGAGUAGGAAUCCAUCUUCAAUUAGGAAUCCUUCGUUGAUUAGGAAUCCUUCGUCGAUUAGGAAUCCUUCGUUGAUUAGGAAUCCUAACUUCUUCAAAUCUUCAAUUACUUCCAUUCCUUUUGCUCCAAGCAUGUGAUCAUCAUUCCAAGCCCAAUUUUUCUCCAAAAGGCACCAAAUUGCAUAAUUUGCCCUUAGAAUCUGAAAACACACAAAAGUGACUUUAAACACUAAAAUAACUAAGGAAACACAACGUACAUGCACGAGAACAAGCCAAUUAAGUCGCAUAAAUAUGCUCCUAUCAGCGCCUAAACACAAUUAGAGACCUUUUAGUAAAACUAUACUAAAACGUUAUAAUUUGGGAAAAUGGAUGGUGGAUUCAGAUUUGGCAUGUCGAGGAACCUCGGGUUUUUCCUCCAUGCACCGUGGCGCGUGGUGGUCGACCUUCCCAACUCACCGGAAAAUCCAACAACUCCAAAAGUUCCCAAAUUUUACAAGAAUGAAGAUCUUGAUGAGAGAAACAACUUCCAUACCUACGGCCAAGGACAAUUUGGCCGGUAAAAGCCCCAAUUUCACUAAAACUCGUCUGAAACCCUAUAAAGGGUGUUUCUUGAUUCGUCCUCAAAUCAACUUUGACGCUCCAACCAAUGAUUGGGCAUUGUUCCUGAGCUCAAGGGGAGGGUAAUGGUUGUAGCGGUCAAAGGUUUACUUUCAAACCAAUGAUUGGGCAUUUGUUGUAUGAAGAAAUGAGAGUUGCUUUGAACAACUCUUGAAAGUUUGUAAUUAUGUUUAGAACAUAAUGGUUGGUUGACAAAAAUAGUCCAUCAACAUGGACUUAUGAUGAUUUUGAAUCAUUGAGUGUUGAAGUAUUAAAACACUUCUAGAGACGGGAACUAGGCAAGGACUUCACCUUUGUGUCCCUAUCCUAAUCGUUCACUAAGUUUAUUGUAAACUAUGUAGUGUACAAUAACCACAUGCUCUCCAAAAUGUUUGAUGUGUAUAACACAAUUGAAAUAAGUUUCAAGAGAGAUAGUGGGAGUUUAGGGACCUUGACUAUGGUAGUCAAAGGAGAAGUCAAAUGAAGAAAGCAAAAUAACUCCAAGGGAACAAACUUUCUUUUAUGAAAGGAUGGACAUUGGAAGGGGUAUUUGCAAGAAAUGUCUUGCAAGUGUCAAGAACACACCUUUCGAAGGCGUUGUAAAAUUGUUCUUGAAUAGUUCAAAACAGUUGGUUCUUCUACUUGAAUGCUUGAUUCCGUAUUAGUAACUAAGUUUUACAAUCGUUGUAAAAGUAUGGCUAAUAAGAAGUAGAAGAUAUAUGAGAGAAGAGAGAGUACUUCACAUUCGGAAAGUUAAUAAAAUAUAGAUUUCUGCGAAAGCAGAAGGUACUUACUUCCUCAUAUGAACUACCAAAGAAAUUGGAAAAACCAAAGAUUGUCUUUACAUUCCAAUUUUAAGGAAUUUAAUUCCGUCACUAUAGUAGAGAUGGAUGAAUGUUUUGAUUGACAAAACAUUGUUCUUUAUUAAUCAAUGAUUGGAUUAUAGUAAUCUAAUUGAUUGUCUCUAUAGUAGAGAUGAUAUGGUAGUGUUAACUGUUUAGAAUACAACGAUGCUUAAAACCCAAAAGGUUGCAAGGUAGUGACUAAUCCCAACUGAAGUUGUGAUACCUCUAAAAACAUAAAUUACGAGUUAGUCAUAGAUGGAUACUUAGGAUCGUUAGAUCCGGAUCCAAUGCCUUCUUGUUAAAAUUGUAUAGAGGCAAAAAUGUUUGAAUCUUCAUUUCUUUGGAAAGAAGAAAGAAUCACAAAGUUGUUGAGGUUAAUUCACUUAGAUGUUAGUGGCACUUG
This 2552-nucleotide long non-coding RNA is filed under the name Malus domestica (apple). Its description in RNAcentral is "long non-coding RNA (MDOM_LNC020242)". Lineage: Eukaryota; Viridiplantae; Streptophyta; Magnoliopsida; Rosales; Rosaceae. The record is from RNAcentral.